This 147-nucleotide microRNA precursor is filed under the name Cucumis melo (muskmelon). The record is from RNAcentral. Lineage: Eukaryota; Viridiplantae; Streptophyta; Magnoliopsida; Cucurbitales; Cucurbitaceae.
UUAAGAAGAGCUUGUUAGAUUAGUGAAAAAAAACUGCCUGAAAAUGAAGCUCAUGCAAGUUCUAAGUAAUAAAACUAGAUCUCUUUUGCUCAUCAAAUUUAAAUUAGCAGGCAAGUCAUUUUUUGCUAUCAAACAAUACUUUUCUUU